RNAcentral lists this small RNA (187 nucleotides) under Streptomyces zinciresistens K42. RNAcentral describes it as "c-di-AMP riboswitch aptamer (ydaO/yuaA leader)". It matches the Rfam family "c-di-AMP riboswitch aptamer (ydaO/yuaA leader)". Rfam says of the family: This family represents a conserved RNA structure found upstream of the ydaO and yuaA genes in Bacillus subtilis and related genes in other bacteria. The ydaO/yuaA element is thought to act as a genetic "off" switch for the ydaO and yuaA genes in its native state. The record is from Rfam by way of RNAcentral. RNAcentral also lists the same sequence under 1 other name. Lineage: Bacteria; Bacillati; Actinomycetota; Actinomycetes; Kitasatosporales; Streptomycetaceae.
UCGCGUCAUCCACCUACGCAACUCACACGCACGGCAGGAGCGGGGGAACCAGGUAAGUCGCCGGACCGGACGCCUUGAUGGCGCCCCGGGCCGGCUAGGGGUGAAGUCGUGCCGUCUCCCUGACGGCGCGGCCGGGCAUCUCCCGCCCGAACCCGACAGCUCACCUCGCAGGCGCCGGAGAGGAACA